GACGAACGCUGGCGGCGUGCUUAACACAUGCAAGUCGAGCGGUAAGGCCCUUUCGGGGGUACACGAGCGGCGAACGGGUGAGUAACACGUGGGUGACCUGCCCUCAGCUCUGGGAUAAGCCUGGGAAACCGGGUCUAAUACUGGAUAUGACUCCAUGACGCAUGUUGUGGGGUGGAAAGCCUUGUGCGGCUGAGGAUGGGCCCGCGGCCUAUCAGCUUGUUGGUGGGGUGAUGGCCUACCAAGGCGACGACGGGUAGCCGGCCUGAGAGGGCGACCGGCCACACUGGGACUGAGACACGGCCCAGACUCCUACGGGAGGCGAGCAGUGGGGAAUCUUGCGCAAUGGGCGAAAGCCUGACGCAGCGACG
This 368-nucleotide ribosomal RNA is filed under the name uncultured bacterium. RNAcentral describes it as "bacterial SSU rRNA". It matches the Rfam family "Bacterial small subunit ribosomal RNA", at positions 28 to 396 of the family's 1533-position model. The record is from RNAcentral.